This 497-nucleotide ribosomal RNA is filed under the name uncultured bacterium. RNAcentral's name for it is "partial 16S ribosomal RNA". It matches the Rfam family "Bacterial small subunit ribosomal RNA", at positions 28 to 507 of the family's 1533-position model. The record is from RNAcentral.
GAUGAACGCUGGCGGCGUGCCUAAUACAUGCAAGUCGAGCGAACGGACGAGAAGCUUGCUUUUCUGAUGUUAGCGGCGGACGGGUGAGUAACACGUGGAUAACCUACCUAUAAGACUGGGAUAACUUCGGGAAACCGGAGCUAAUACCGGAUAAUAUUUUGAACCGCAUGGUUCAAAAGUGAAAGACGGUCUUGCUGUCACUUAUAGAUGGAUCCGCGCUGCAUUAGCUAGUUGGUAAGGUAACGGCUUACCAAGGCAACGAUGCAUAGCCGACCUGAGAGGGUGAUCGGCCACCCUGGAACUGAGACACGGUCCCGACUCCUACGGGAGGCAGCAGUAGGGAAUCUUCCGCAAUGGGCGAAAGCCUGACGGAGCAACGCCGCGUGAGUGAUGAAGGUCUUCGGAUCGUAAAACUCUGUUAUUAGGGAAGAACAUAUGUGUAAGUAACUGUGCACAUCUUGACGGUACCUAAUCAGAAAGCCACGGCUAACUACGUG